Molecule: ribosomal RNA, 454 nt
Filed under: Maoridrilus volutus
Lineage: Eukaryota; Metazoa; Annelida; Clitellata; Crassiclitellata; Acanthodrilidae
Description: partial 16S ribosomal RNA
Rfam family: Bacterial large subunit ribosomal RNA
Source: RNAcentral
CUGCCCAGUGAUUAAGUUUAAACGGCCGCGGUAUCCUAACCGUGCAAAGGUAGCAUAAUCACUUGCCUAUUAAUUGUAGGCUAGAAUGAACGGAUAAACGUAAUAAAACCUGUCUCCAUCAUUAAGAUAUAAAUUAUCAUUUACACGAAGAGAAGUAAAUGAACUCGAAGGACAAGAAGACCCUAUAGAGCUUUAUUUUAAAUGUAACAAACUAUUAUAUAAGAAUUUGGUUGGGGCGACCUAGGGAAAUAACAAAACACCCUACACUAUAAAGAUCUAUAAAUCGACAAAGUGACCCUUAUAAAGAUCAUAAAAACAAGCUACCUUAGGGAUAACAGGCUAAUCUCAUUUAAGAGUCCAUAUCUACAAUGAGGUUUGGCACCUCGAUGUUGGCUUAGGGUAUCACCUUAGCGCAAAAGUUGAGUAAAGAUGGUUUGUUCAACCAAUAACCCCU